This 252-nucleotide ribosomal RNA is filed under the name uncultured bacterium. RNAcentral's name for it is "partial 16S ribosomal RNA". It matches the Rfam family "Bacterial small subunit ribosomal RNA", at positions 524 to 776 of the family's 1533-position model. The record is from RNAcentral.
UACGGAGGGUGCGAGCGUUACUCGGAUUUAUUGGGUUUAAAGGGUGCGUAGGCGGAGUGCCAAGUCAGCGGUAAAAAUUCGGGGCUCAACCCCGUCGUGCCGUUGAAACUGGCGCCCUUGAGUGGGCGAGAAGUAUGCGGAAUGCGUGGUGUAGCGGUGAAAUGCAUAGAUAUCACGCAGAACCCCGAUUGCGAAGGCAGCAUACCGGCGCCCGACUGACGCUGAAGCACGAAAGCGUGGGUAUCGAACAGG